This 504-nucleotide ribosomal RNA is filed under the name uncultured bacterium. RNAcentral's name for it is "partial 16S ribosomal RNA". It matches the Rfam family "Bacterial small subunit ribosomal RNA", at positions 28 to 507 of the family's 1533-position model. The record is from RNAcentral.
GACGAACGCUGGCGGCGUGCUUAACACAUGCAAGUCGAACGGUGAAGCGCUUGCCUUUUUGGUGGGUGUGGAUGAGUGGCGAGCGGGUGAGUAACACGUGAGUAACCUGCCCUCUUCUUCUGGAUAACCUCAUGAAAGUGGGGCUAAUACGGGGUAUUCCGGGUCUGUCGCAUGGCGGGUUUGGGAAAGAUUGCGCCUUUGGGUGUUUUCGGUGGGGGAUGGGCUCGCGGCCUAUCAGCUUGUUGGUGGGGUGAUGGCCUACCAAGGCGGUGACGGGUAGCCGGCCUGAGAGGGUGGACGGCCAAACUGGGACUGAGACACGGCCCAGACUCCUGCGGGAGGCAGCAGUGGGGAAUAUUGCACAAUGGGCGCAAGCCUGAUGCAGCGACGCCGCGUGAGGGAGGGAGGCCUUCGGGUUGUGAACCUCUUUCGCCAGUGAAGCAGGCCUGCUCCUGUGUGGGUGGGUUGACGGUAGCUAGAUAAGAAGCGCCGGCUAACUACGUG